This 367-nucleotide long non-coding RNA is filed under the name Eucalyptus grandis. RNAcentral's name for it is "long non-coding RNA (EGRA_LNC006085)". Lineage: Eukaryota; Viridiplantae; Streptophyta; Magnoliopsida; Myrtales; Myrtaceae. The record is from RNAcentral.
GAAGUACUUGAGAUUAAUCUAUAUGAGGUGGAGUAACCAGUAGGUAAUCACUUGAGCCUGUAGGCGCAGGGCCUGGUGAAGUAACAGAUCAAAAUGACUCGAUCGGGCCGAGAAAAGCGACUAAGCAUAUAUACGUACGGUUCUCGAAGGAUAUGAGUUAGUGAUCGGCUCCGCAGAUGUAAGACCGGAGGAGCAUGGUGGCGCAACGGCGCAGGAUGUAAACACGGGCGCGCCGUUCUCGUACCAGGGACGCACACUUCCUGGUGAGGCCAUUGAUCCUUCCCUUCCUUCUGCUGCACGCCUUGGCCUCAUCACAUUUCCAUGGAUGAAACCCAGCCAUGGCUAAGUAUUGAAGAUGACAGGAAAU